CCUUGUCUAGCCUGGUGAGUGAGCAGGCGCGAGAGAGAGAGAACAAACACUCCCAUUCCUCUCAUUUCCAGUCCAACUUUUCACAAGAGCACAUUUAAUGGAAAUAAUCCUCUGCUCAAUGUUGCUCGCUGCGCCGUCUUUUUUUGUUCCAUUUUCCCCCUUUUUGUGUAUUUCCUCCCCCGUUUAUUUGAUUUCUGGACAGAUUACCCUCCUUUCUCAAGCAUGCCCCCCCAAUUGUGACGCGGGGAGAAGCUCACAGGACAUACUUCUCUCUUUGUUUAGAUGGUAUCUCUUGGUUGUGUUUGUUGGCAUGAGGGAACGUUUACAAUGCAGCACGUGCCAAUGGGUCGGCCAUGACACCUUGAGAGAGAUCCCUGAAGGAGGACCAUUCUAAUUCAUAGUUCUGUCUUGAACACACACACACGUACACACUUACAUACUUGCAUAGACACAAACACCUGGUGACUGUUGUCAGAGAGCCUGAUGUUAUAAUGGAAAGGAAGCCUGUACAGGACAGUAAACCGUAGUAAGAGAGGCUAUAGACCCAACAACAGGUUUAUGAGCAGCCUUAGCAUAGUGAAAUAAAGUAAAACAGAGGUCCUAGAGACCCAACAACAACCUAUUCUUAGGUUUGGCACUGUACACCAUGACACUGAGAGUGAUCAAUGUCACAGACAACAGAUCGAAGAACGGCCCUAGCAAAGUGAAAUACAGUAAAACAGGCCAUAUGGACCGAACAACAGAUCCAGGAUCAGCCCUCAGCACAGUGAGUAAACCGAAUACACAGCUGAUCAGGCUAAGGCCCAAAUGCAGACACAGGAGGUGGAUAGUACGAUUCUCAGAGUUUAUUAUAGUACAAGGGGCAGGCAAAAGGGUAGUCAAGGCAGGCAAAGAGUUGUAAUCCAAAUCAGAGUCAGGCAGAUAUAGGACAGCAGGCAGGAUCAGGGACAGGCAGAAAGGUAAAAAACUACAGCACAGGAAACACGGGAACACGCUGGUAGGACUUGAUGGGAAACAGACAAACAGAAAAACUAGAUAUAAAUACACGAGGUAAUGGGGGUUGAAGACAAUCACAAGACAGGUGAAACAGAUCAGGGUGUGACACAGAAUAGCUUCUGAUUCCGUGUGCAGAGAGCUAGCUAUAACUCCGGUGCUUUCGGGGAACAUUCAACGCUGUCGGUGAGUUUGAGCCUCUGACAGAAACCAUCGACGGUUGGCUGUACUCUGAGGGCCACUGUUCCCGUCCAGGUGGAUGAACACACACACUCAUACAUGGAAGCCACUGAGAAUCCUAAACACACAAACGUGAAGUUGAAUCCCAAAGGCACACACACAAAUUCGAAAGAUUCACACAUGCACACGCACACAAAUACACACACAUGCACAUACGUGCACAUACACAUGCACGCACGCACGCACCCACACACACACAAACACAUCGUAAAGGCACACACCAACAGAUACACACAAAUGUGACCGGAUUCAGGAAGGUGGGCGUUUGCCGCUAGUUCCUACAUUACAGUAGGGACAAUUGAGAAAAAAAGCUGUUGUUUAGCACACUGUAUUACUUAUACAACUAAUAUAAGGACAGGACAUGAGACAGUAGAAAUUAACGUGAGCAUUGUUUAAUGCAUUUCACAGGAAGAACCUUCCAAGCAUUUCAACAUAGGUAAGCAAGGGGGGGUUACAGGUGCCCUAAAGGGACAAAACUAGAAUACACAACAAAAGCCUUCUUGAAUAUUUUAACUUUCAUGUGCAUUAAUAACAAACUGAAAUGUGAUCUGUAAAUAUGAAUAAAAACAUUUAAUUACAAGCCUAGUUUAGCCAAGGAGAAAGAACUGAGUUACAGUGCAUUCGGGAAGUAUUCAGACCAUUUGACUUUAUCCACAUUUUGUUACGUUACUGCCUUAUUCUAAAAUGGAUUAAAAAUAUAUAUAAUUGUCCUCAAUCUACACACAAUACCCCAU
This is a long non-coding RNA of Salmo trutta (river trout), 1967 nucleotides long. Lineage: Eukaryota; Metazoa; Chordata; Actinopteri; Salmoniformes; Salmonidae. The record is from Ensembl.